UUACCUGGUUGAUCCUGCCAGUAGUCAUAUGCUUGUCUCAAAGAUUAAGCCAUGCAUGUCUAAGUACAGGCCGACCCAAGGCGAAACCGCAAAUGGCUCAUUAAAUCAGUCAUGAUUCAUUGGAUGUUGAUGAAUCUUUUACUCGGAUAACCGUGGUAAUUCUAGAGCUAAUACGUGCAAUCGAGCUCCGACCCCGCCAUUCCAGGCGGGGGAAGGGCGCAUUUAUUAGAAUCAUAAACCGAGCGGACUGCGGUCCGUCUCAUACGAGGUUGUGAUGACUCUGAAUAACUAUUGCCGAGCGCUGAGGCCUUCGUGCCGGCGCCGUAUCCUCCGAGUGUCUGCCUUAUCAGCUUUCGAUUGUAGGUUAUACGCCUACAAUGGCUGUAACGGGUAACGGGGAAUCAGGGUUCGAUUCCGGAGAGGGAGCCUGAGAAACGGCUACCACAUCUAAGGAAGGCAGCAGGCACGCAAAUUACCCACUCCCGGCACGGGGAGGUAGUGACGAUAAAUAACGAUGCGGGACUCUUCCGAGGCCUCGCAAUCGGAAUGAGUUUACUCUAAAUACUUGGACGAGGAUCCAUUGGAGGGCAAGUCUGGUGCCAGCAGCCGCGGUAAUUCCAGCUCCAAUAGCGUAUAUUAAAGUUGCUGCGGUUAAAAAGCUCGUAGUUGGACUUUAAGAUACGUACCGGCGGCCCAUCCAAGGCGCGCCCUCGCUUAUCGUCGGCUUAUAAGGCGUUCGCGCUUUUAGCCGUUCGGCCCGCCCUUCACCUGACGGCCAUCACCGCUUCUCUCCCCUCCGAGCCCCCUCGCUCAUUUUCCCCUCUUUUCUCGGGGAGACCGGUCCACACCUGGUUUUUUUAGAAAGGCCCCCCCCACGCCUCGUCGGGGUCGACGGCGUCGGUGAAAAUAUAGCGGUUUUACCGUUCCCUAUUUCCCGUCGUGCGGUCGGCCGCAAACACCGCGAAGCGCGGGGGCUACGGUGUCCCGCUCCCAUCUAAACGAGGAAACGAGGUGAUCGAGCGAAUCGGGGCGACGAGGCUUCGUUGCGGGGGUCGCGAUCGUGGUGGUCGCUUCGGUGUCGGGCAAAUAAAGGUCGGGCGGUGUUUAGCUCGGCGAGAGGCGGGUAAGCGCGCCCGGUGGUUCACUUGCCGGCAACGAAUUUUUAAAAGCCGUCGGCGCUCACGGGGUGCUCUUUACCGAGUGUCCCGCGUGGCCGACACGUUCACUUUGAAAAAAUUAGAGUGCUCAAAGCAGGCAAACCUUAUAGCCUGAAUGUAUAUGCAUGGAAUGAUGGAACAGGACCUCGGUUCUGCAUUUUUCUCUCGGUUUUCCGAACCCGAGGUAAUGAUUAACGGGAACGGACGGGGGCAUUAGUAUUGCGACGCUAGAGGUGAAAUUCUUGGACCGUCGCAAGACUAACUACUGCGAAAGCAUUUGCCAAGAACGCUUUCAUUAAUCAAGAACGAAAGUUAGAGGAUCGAAGGCGAUCAGAUACCGCCCUAGUUCUAACCUUAAACGAUGCCAACUGGCGAUCCGCUUACGUCAUUCCCACGACUGAGCGGGGAGCCCCCGGGAAACCAAAGUCUUUGGGUUCCGGGGGAAGUAUGGUUGCAAAGCUGAAACUUAAAGGAAUUGACGGAAGGGCACCACCAGGAGUGGAGCCUGCGGCUUAAUUUGACUCAACACGGGGAACCUCACCAGGCCCAGACACCGGAAGGAUUGACAGAUUGAGAGCUCUUUCUCGAUUCGGUGGGUGGUGGUGCAUGGCCGUUCUUAGUUGGUGGAGCGAUCUGUCUGGUUGAUUCCGAUAACGAMCGAGACUCUACCCUACUAACUAGUCGGUGGAUCGUAUCCCGAGACGGGUUCCCCUGUCGGGGGGUUCGGUGCGGUACGUUGGCCCUCCGGCCGCGGCGUCCUUCCCUCUAAAGCGGAGAGGAAAUGUCGUUCUGUCUCCCCCUCCCGCUCGGUUCGCUUCGGCGUUCAGGGUGUGGAGAAGGGAGGGAGGCGGCACUACUCGUGCGCGUAGGGGGGCCAAAAUGGGGCGUCGCGCGUCGUGGGAGGCGUCGCGUCCGCGCUCGCUACAUUCCCCGUGCAGGGCCCAGCGAGGGGCGUCCACCGCAACAUCUUCUUAGAGGGAUCGGCGGCGUCCAGCCGCACGAGAGAGAGCAAUAACAGGCUGGUGAUGCANNNNNNNNNGCCGUUCUUAGUUGGUGGAGUGAUUUGUCUGGUUAAUUCCGAUAACGAACGAGACUCUAUCCUGCUAACUAGUCGGUGGAUCGUUACCCUAGUCGGGUCGCUUCUUUCGCGCCGUAGUUGUCGCGGUAGAUGUCGUUCGGUAAAGGUGUUCGACGCGUUCGAAGUGCGUUUUGCUUUCGGGCAUGCGUGCCGAGGCGCGUAACGGCCUUUAUCGGGCGCUCUCCCACGCUGCGGUUGCGGGUGGCGCUCGGCUAGGGGCGUUCAUCGUAUUUCUUCUUAGAGGGAUUGUCGGUUCGUAGCCGUAAGAGAAUGAGCAAUAACAGGUCUGUGAUGCCCUUAGAUGUCCUGAGCUGCACGCGCGCUACAAUGAUUGUAGCAGCGUGCUUUCCUUCUCCGAAAGGAGUGAGUAACCCCGUGAAUUGCAAUCCCGCUUGGGAUUGGGGAUUGCAAUAUUUCCUCAUGAACGAGGAAUGCCUAGUAAGCGCAGGUCAAAAGCUUGCGUUGACUAAGUCCCUGCCCUUUGUACACACCGCCCGUCGCUACUACCGAUUGGAUGAAGUAUCAAAGACGUUGGACUAUGCACCCUUAGUUGCGCCGAAUGCGUGCGUAAACGACGGGAAUUGUGGAAAGGCGUCUGAGGUAGCUUAUCUAGAGGAAGUAAAAGUCGUAACAAGGUCUUCGUAGGUGAACCUGGGGAA
RNAcentral lists this ribosomal RNA (2894 nucleotides) under Exosphaeroma sp. RW95.030. Its description in RNAcentral is "partial 18S ribosomal RNA". It matches the Rfam family "Eukaryotic small subunit ribosomal RNA". Lineage: Eukaryota; Metazoa; Arthropoda; Malacostraca; Isopoda; Sphaeromatidae. The record is from RNAcentral.